This 477-nucleotide ribosomal RNA is filed under the name uncultured organism. Its description in RNAcentral is "partial 16S ribosomal RNA". It matches the Rfam family "Bacterial small subunit ribosomal RNA", at positions 332 to 800 of the family's 1533-position model. The record is from RNAcentral.
UACACUCCUGCGGGAGGCAGCAGUGGGGAAUUUUGGACAAUGGGCGAAAGCCUGAUCCAGCAAUGCCGCGUGAGUGAAGAAGGCCUUCGGGUUGUAAAGCUCUUUUGUCAGGGAAGAAACGGUGAAAGCUAAUAUCUUUUGCUAAUGACGGUACCUGAAGAAUAAGCACCGGCUAACUACGUGCCAGCAGCCGCGGUAAUACGUAGGGUGCAAGCGUUAAUCGGAAUUACUGGGCGUAAAGCGUGCGCAGGCGGUUUUGUAAGUCUGAUGUGAAAUCCCCGGGCUCAACCUGGGAAUUGCAUUGGAGACUGCAAGGCUAGAAUCUGGCAGAGGGGGGUAGAAUUCCACGUGUAGCAGUGAAAUGCGUAGAUAUGUGGAGGAACACCGAUGGCGAAGGCAGCCCCCUGGGUCAAGAUUGACGCUCAUGCACGAAAGCGUGGGGAGCAAACAGGAUUAGAUACCCCGGUAGUCCCAUGA